This 107-nucleotide small nucleolar RNA is filed under the name Eutrema salsugineum. RNAcentral's name for it is "Plant small nucleolar RNA R71". It matches the Rfam family "Plant small nucleolar RNA R71". Rfam says of the family: R71 is a member of the C/D box family of snoRNAs containing the C (UGAUGA) and D (CUGA) box motifs. Multiple nearly identical copies of this snoRNA have been identified in Arabidopsis, and it is thought to function as a 2'-O-ribose methylation guide for 18S ribosomal RNA. Lineage: Eukaryota; Viridiplantae; Streptophyta; Magnoliopsida; Brassicales; Brassicaceae. The record is from Rfam by way of RNAcentral.
AAACCAUGGUGUGGACACUGAUUGGUGUAGCUUCUACACCUCUCCCAAGCUUCCCCAAAGCUUUCAUUGUUAUGUUGCUUGAAGCUUGAAAUUUGGUUUCUCAGCUU